This 481-nucleotide long non-coding RNA is filed under the name Gallus gallus (chicken). RNAcentral describes it as "lncRNA (ENSGALG00010027606.1)". The record is from RNAcentral. Lineage: Eukaryota; Metazoa; Chordata; Aves; Galliformes; Phasianidae.
GCCCUGCAACUCUGGCUCAUCGGGAUAACAGUAAACAGCCAGUGGAGUUGGCUCUGCAUGGAUACGCUGAGCUGAAUUUGGAGCAAACACCAGCCCCUGUGCUGUAUGUAAUUAGAAGAUGCUUCCGGUGGGUGAGAUGCUGGAGGAGUGCUUUGGCCAUGUCAAACCACAGUCUCUCUCCAGAUUCAAAUCCACAACACCAGCAACUUUAGAGCGCUCUUGGAGAGAAGCCACAGGAACUGCUCCAUGUUACCCUCAGCACUAGGCUUCAUUUGGUACCUGGCACUACUCCCAUGGAAGUCAACUGGAAGAGGCCAACAGACUUCCCUGAAAGGCAUUUUGAGAAUGGUGCAUGCCUCCUAUCCUACCCACAGCACUGCGUGAGGAACCACGAUGGGAAAUGCAGCCAGAACACACCAUUUUGCUGCCCUGGGUCCCCCAGUCCGUGCUCCUCACCUGUUGCAGGCAAUGUGGGUUCCCU